UACGUAGGGACCGAGCGUUGUCCGGAAUUAUUGGGCGUAAAGCGCGUGUAGGCGGCCAGAUAGGUCUGCUGUGAAAACUCGAGGCUCAACCUCGAGCUGUCGGCGGAAACCAUCCGGCUAGAGUCCGGAAGGGGAGAGUGGAAUUCCCGGUGUAGCGGUGAAAUGCGCAGAUAUCGGGAAGAACACCUGUGGCGAAGGCGGCUCUCUGGGACGGUACUGACGCUGAGACGCGAAAGCGUGGGGAGCAAACAGG
This 253-nucleotide ribosomal RNA is filed under the name uncultured bacterium. RNAcentral describes it as "partial 16S ribosomal RNA". It matches the Rfam family "Bacterial small subunit ribosomal RNA", at positions 524 to 776 of the family's 1533-position model. The record is from RNAcentral.